CAACUUACCUGGCAGGAGAGAUACCAUGGUCACGAAGGUGGCUUUCCCAGGGUGGGGCUCAUCCAUUGCACUCCAGAUGUGCUGACCCCUGUGACUUCCCCCGACCCUCCCCCCAAAAUCCCAGUCCCAUCACUUACUUGGCUAAGUUUCUUCAUCUCACUGUGC
Balaenoptera musculus (blue whale) is the source of this 165-nucleotide small nuclear RNA. Its record names the gene U1. It matches the Rfam family "U1 spliceosomal RNA". Rfam says of the family: U1 is a small nuclear RNA (snRNA) component of the spliceosome (involved in pre-mRNA splicing). Its 5' end forms complementary base pairs with the 5' splice junction, thus defining the 5' donor site of an intron. There are significant differences in sequence and secondary structure between metazoan and yeast U1 snRNAs, the latter being much longer (568 nucleotides as compared to 164 nucleotides in human). The record is from Ensembl. NCBI's taxonomy places the organism in Eukaryota, Metazoa, Chordata, Mammalia, Artiodactyla, Balaenopteridae.